AUUGAACGCUGGCGGCAGGCCUAACACAUGCAAGUCGAACGCGUGGCGGACGGGUGAGUAAUGUGUGGGAAACUGCCCGAUGGGGGGGGAUAACUACUGGAAACGGUAGCUAAUACCGCAUACCCUCAGAUGUGCCCAGCUGGGAUUAGCUAGUAGGGGGGGUAAGGGCUCACCUAGGCGACGAUCCCUAGCUGGUCUGAGAGGAUGACCAGCCACACUGGAACUGAGACACGGUCCAGACUCCUACGGGAGGCAGCAGUGGGGAAUAUUGCACAAUGGGCGCAAGCCUGAUGCAGCCAUGCCGCGUGUAUGAAGAAGGCCUUCGGGUUGUAAAGUACUUUCAGCGGGGAGGCGUUACCCGCAGAAGAAGCACCGGCUAACUCCGUGCCAGCAGCCGCGGUAAUAC
This 406-nucleotide ribosomal RNA is filed under the name uncultured bacterium. RNAcentral's name for it is "partial 16S ribosomal RNA". It matches the Rfam family "Bacterial small subunit ribosomal RNA", at positions 30 to 526 of the family's 1533-position model. The record is from RNAcentral.